RNAcentral lists this ribosomal RNA (422 nucleotides) under Klebsiella pneumoniae. RNAcentral describes it as "bacterial SSU rRNA". It matches the Rfam family "Bacterial small subunit ribosomal RNA", at positions 1 to 417 of the family's 1533-position model. The record is from RNAcentral. Lineage: Bacteria; Pseudomonadati; Pseudomonadota; Gammaproteobacteria; Enterobacterales; Enterobacteriaceae.
ACUUAAAUUGAAGAGUUUGAUCAUGGCUCAGAUUGAACGCUGGCGGCAGGCCUAACACAUGCAAGUCGAGCGGUAGCACAGAGAGCUUGCUCUCGGGUGACGAGCGGCGGACGGGUGAGUAAUGUCUGGGAAACUGCCUGAUGGAGGGGGAUAACUACUGGAAACGGUAGCUAAUACCGCAUAACGUCGCAAGACCAAAGUGGGGGACCUUCGGGCCUCAUGCCAUCAGAUGUGCCCAGAUGGGAUUAGCUAGUAGGUGGGGUAACGGCUCACCUAGGCGACGAUCCCUAGCUGGUCUGAGAGGAUGACCAGCCACACUGGAACUGAGACACGGUCCAGACUCCUACGGGAGGCAGCAGUGGGGAAUAUUGCACAAUGGGCGCAAGCCUGAUGCAGCCAUGCCGCGUGUGUGAAGAAGGCCU